CUUUUUUCUCUCAAUAAAUAACCAUUUGCUGUACUUUUUUUUCGGGUAUUUAAAUUGCUUCACAAGGGUAACAACUCAUUGGUUGCUACUAGAAUAGAGGUCUGGUGGCCAAAAGAUAAGACGUAAGUAUCUUGGUGGCAUCUCUGCACUAGUCUGAUACCAAUUUCCAACCAAGUAUAUUAUAGCCUCAGCUUCAUUGGUGAAUUUUAUGGACAUGAGUCUGUUCAUCCCAAUGUCUCAUUUGCUCUGUGUUGUGGAACUCGUUUUUCUCCUGCUGUGACACACAGAUGGAGUUGCAACUGAAUGCAAACAUAGAAUGCAACAAGUUUUGUCCUGUUCUUCAAAUAUGUCUACUAAAUGCCACUGAAAAUAUAUAGCGAUGACAUGCUAACUUUGAUAAGUUCAACAUUAUCCUUUGUUUAUUAUAUAAUUAAAUAUUAAAAUAAUUUGUAUCUCUUAUGAGAUCAAUACCAUUAA
Molecule: long non-coding RNA, 477 nt
Organism: Vigna unguiculata (cowpea)
Lineage: Eukaryota; Viridiplantae; Streptophyta; Magnoliopsida; Fabales; Fabaceae
Source: RefSeq, a predicted model, not a curated record